Molecule: long non-coding RNA, 1371 nt
Organism: Panicum virgatum (switchgrass)
Lineage: Eukaryota; Viridiplantae; Streptophyta; Magnoliopsida; Poales; Poaceae
Exons: 5
Source: RefSeq, a predicted model, not a curated record
GCAUGGCAAGCAGAUCGAUGCGGCAAGCAGGGGCAACGGAAGUCAUGUCUGGAUACGUAUCGGACGUGUAUCAUCGGUGUAUCACGUAUCGGUGGAUACGGGAUACGUGCUUCUAUGAAGCCUGAUUUAAAAGCCUGCUGAUUUCGGCUACAUGUGAGAAAUAAGCCGGGAAAAGAGAAGCCAACAGUGCGCUCUUCCCUUCCCUUCCCGGCCGCCGCCGCCCGCGCGCCUUGGGCCGCCGUAUCGUUUGCCCUGGGCGGUCCUGCGACGAGCGAGCGCGUAACGUCUUCUUUCUUUUCCCCUCCCCCUUUUCCCUCGGGUUGUCGUCUCGACGACUCGCACCGUACACCAGCCUCGGAGCAACCAUGGCCUCGGUCCCGCUGACGGUGGCGGAGACGGAGUCUACUCCCCUCAUCGGAGUCGUGACCGAGACGGAGACGGAGACUGCAUGCUCCCCUCAUCCGAGUCGUGCCAGCGCAGGAUGCCAAGGCCCCCCGCGCCGCCGCGUCCGUGAAGAUCAGGCGCCGCCUCUCCCCGACGCGGAGAGAGGACUUGGAACGCCUUCUUCGAGUUGCCCCCCCAGCCAAGCAGUCCUUGUUCUCGCGCCUCGCGCGGCUGUGGCGCCAGGCCUUCGGCCGGUUCGAUCCCCGCUCCAUCCCCUUCGAUCAGCCGCUGACUGGGGAACAGAUGGAUAUGCUUGAACGUCAUCAUCAGCCGGGCCACUUCGAUCGAUUAGCUUUGGAUCGCGAGCUUACCAUGGAUUGCCUGCACUACUACAACAAAAAGAAUCCGGGCAAUGAAUAUGAGCCUGCUCCAGGUAAGGUGUACCGGCACUCCUAUUAUCACAAUGGCGUUUGCUGGUCUCAUGGGAACUUCGUGGCUCGUAAGAAGCGCACUGGUUGGUUGUCAUGUCAUUCCUUCCUGCCGCAAGGACUCUCUUUUUCUUUGAGCUUGCUGGUACAAAAGAUUUCAAUGGCAUCGUCACGUGCUCCCGCUUAGAUGAACCAGUUACUGAAUCUCACAGUGUCUUGGGUUUCCGUCUUGGGUUCUCUACUCGUCGUAGUGGCAAAUUCGAUUCCUUUUGCAAGACGUGCUCCGGGCGCUUUGAUGUUCCACAUCCAGCAUGUGAACAUCAGCAUGUGGAGAAAGUCUGUGGAAUGUGUUAUCUUCGCUCCGAUGUGCUGCAUCCGCGCCCUGGAGAAUUCGCGUUUGGCUAUCACAGUCCUUACCGCCCCUACCCUACUAAGCACUGAUUAUGUCAUCGAUCACUGUGGAUGUGAAAACUGACUUCGUAACUUAACGUUGUGAUUGCUUUCCAAGUUGCUAUGUCACUUGGAAACUGUUCAUAUAUAAAUAUGCUUUUGCUGGAGA